GAAGAAGGUGCUGGAUGAUCCCGUUUAGGAGCCGUUUCUCCCUCUGAGCCGUGCUGAUAGCGAGGGAGCCUUCAGUGUGACCGGAGGCAUCUGGGAAGACACGGGAGAUGCAGUGAUGAAAACUAGCUGAAAACCAAACCUCACCUGACUCAUCAACGUCAGCAUCCUCAUCCCAUUCCUGGUAAGCGCGGCCCUCGUUCUGCCGGCUCUUCACCCAGUCGUCGUCUGGCUCCUGGUCGAGAACCCCUGGAGGGCCGCUGUAAUAAUCACCUGAAGAAAAAGACACAGGUGCACACCACAGAGAUGAAACCGUUUCUUCUUUUCUUUUUUUCUUGAACAGAAACCGGCUGUUUAAUCAUUUCUGUUGCCUCGAUCACAGACGUUUGCGUUCGUUGUUCAAAGCUCUGUUUAGAGAUUAUAUAACAAAUGACUAACACUAUAGAAAAAAAACCCAUCAAAACAAUAUCUCUCUCUCAACGUUAACAUCUAAAAGCUUUAAGAACGUGCUACCAAUGAAACCAAAGUUAAAGAAGACAACAUAAGACAAAAACCAUAACAUAACAACAAUGAGGAAUUAUUAGUUAUUGGUUCAUCUGAAUAAUACAUUACUCGGUGUUUGUAUGAGUGGUGCUGCAUUUUAGCCUGUUUAGCUUUAGAUCAGGGGUCUGCAACAUUUACAAUCCAAAAAACACCAUUUAGAGUCAUUUAGAGCCACAAAUGUUACAUGAUGGGGGAAAAAAACCAUUUUUGAAAAAUAAAUACAGACGAAAGUGUAAUUUUUAAAGAACCAUCACUUUAUUUCAGUUUUUUGUCAUCUUAAAAUAAAGAAACACUUUUCUUUAUUUUAAGAUAAAGAAAAGUACAUUUUUAUGAUGACAUUUGCAGUAAAUAUGAUAUAGUUGCCAACCUAAUGACAAGAAAAAUAGAUCUAAGAUGUACAUUUUGUGUCAUUUUGUUGUGGAAAUUUAAUGCAAUUUGUCUAUAAAAACUGAUUUACAUUUGCUUUACAUCUAUCUUUAAAAACAAUUGUUUGUUCUUUAUCAUUUUUAGCUAUUGCAGAAGGUCCAAAGAGCCACUUGUGGCUCUGGAGUAGCGGGUUGCAGACCCCUGCUCUAGAGUCAUGAGAAGACUUUGACCAAGAGGAAUCUGUACUGACUUUCCUUAACCAAACUAUAGUGUCUGUAACUGGCAAUAAAAUUGAUUUUGUCUGCAAUAAAUAAAUACAGUAAAACUGAA
Xiphophorus hellerii (green swordtail) is the source of this 1236-nucleotide long non-coding RNA. RefSeq lists it as uncharacterized. The record is from RefSeq and is a predicted model, not a curated record. The transcript has 2 exons. NCBI's taxonomy places the organism in Eukaryota, Metazoa, Chordata, Actinopteri, Cyprinodontiformes, Poeciliidae.